GUUCCGUAACUAUGCUCAGGUAUUGGGUUUGGAAUCCUAAUAGUAGUAGAUUAGAUCUAUUGUUGUGUGCUAAUUUUUAUUCACAUGAUUAUUUUUUAAAUUUAGAUUUUUAUGCAUGUAAAUUCAUGUCAUAGAUCUAUUUGUAGGAGUUUUAAGAUCAGAUCUUGUGUAUAUAUUUAUAGAUUAAAUAGUUUAAUCUAAUAUUCUUUCACUGUAAAAUUUUUAAAAUGC
Molecule: long non-coding RNA, 231 nt
Filed under: Elaeis guineensis (African oil palm)
Lineage: Eukaryota; Viridiplantae; Streptophyta; Magnoliopsida; Arecales; Arecaceae
Description: long non-coding RNA (EGUI_LNC053067)
Source: RNAcentral